AAUCCAUGAUGUGGGCAUUGAGACAAAUAGCCCUUGAACAUAUCCCAAGCUUCACUAAAGCCCUCUAGGUUCUUCUGCUGAAAGCUAGAACUCAUUCCUGAUCUU
RNAcentral lists this small nucleolar RNA (105 nucleotides) under Brassica oleracea var. oleracea. RNAcentral's name for it is "Plant small nucleolar RNA R71". It matches the Rfam family "Plant small nucleolar RNA R71". From Rfam's summary of the family: R71 is a member of the C/D box family of snoRNAs containing the C (UGAUGA) and D (CUGA) box motifs. Multiple nearly identical copies of this snoRNA have been identified in Arabidopsis, and it is thought to function as a 2'-O-ribose methylation guide for 18S ribosomal RNA. The record is from Rfam by way of RNAcentral. Lineage: Eukaryota; Viridiplantae; Streptophyta; Magnoliopsida; Brassicales; Brassicaceae.